Molecule: ribosomal RNA, 458 nt
Filed under: uncultured bacterium
Lineage: Bacteria
Description: partial 16S ribosomal RNA
Rfam family: Bacterial small subunit ribosomal RNA
Source: RNAcentral
CCUACGGGGUGCAGCAGUGGGGAAUCUUGCACAAUGGGGGAAACCCUGAUGCAGCGACGCCGCGUGAGUGAAGAAGUAAUUCGUUACGUAAAGCUCUAUCAGCAGGGACGAACCACUUACCUUACGGUCAUCAGACGGUACCUACGUCAGAAUCCCCGUCUAACUACGUUCCAGCAGCCGCGGUAAUACGUAGUGGGCAAGCGUUAUCCGGAUUGACUGGGAGUAAAGGGAGCGUAGACGGUGCGCCAAGUCUGGAGUGAAAUGCCGAAGCUUAACUGCGGAACUGCGUUGGAAACUGGCGAACUAGAGUGCGGGAGGGGUAAGCGGAAUUCCUAGGGUAGCGGUGAAAUGCGUAGAUAUUAGGAGGAACACAGGUGGCGAAGGCGGCUUACUGGACCGUAACUGACGUUGAGGCUCGAAAGCGUGGGGAGCAAACAGGAUUAGAUACCCGGGUAGUC